UGAGUAACCUGCCCUUGAUUCUGGGAUAAGCCUGGGAAACCGGGUCUAAUACCGGAUAUGACUGCCGGCCGCAUGGCCUGGUGGUGGAAAGCUUUUGCGGUGUGGGAUGAGCUCGCGGCCUAUCAGCUAGUUGGUGUGGGUAAUGGCCCACCAAGGCGACGACGGGUAGCCGGCCUGAGAGGGUGACCGGCCACACGUGGGACUGAGACACGGCCCAAACUCCGUACGGGAGCAG
Molecule: ribosomal RNA, 235 nt
Filed under: uncultured bacterium
Lineage: Bacteria
Description: partial 16S ribosomal RNA
Rfam family: Bacterial small subunit ribosomal RNA
Source: RNAcentral